This 254-nucleotide ribosomal RNA is filed under the name uncultured bacterium. RNAcentral describes it as "partial 16S ribosomal RNA". It matches the Rfam family "Bacterial small subunit ribosomal RNA", at positions 524 to 776 of the family's 1533-position model. The record is from RNAcentral.
UACAGAGGUCCCAAGCGUUUGUUCGGAUUCACUGGGCGUAAAGGGUGCGUAGGCGGUCGGGUAAGUCUGAUGUGAAAUCUCACAGCUUAACUGUGAAACUGCAUUGGAUACUAUCCGGCUAGAGGAAUGGAGGGGAGACUGGAAUACUUGGUGUAGCAGUGAAAUGCGUAGAUAUCAAGUGGAACACCAGUGGCGAAGGCGAGUCUCUGGACAUUUCCUGACGCUGAGGCACGAAAGCCAGGGGAGCAAACGGG